RNAcentral lists this long non-coding RNA (840 nucleotides) under Coccomyxa subellipsoidea. Its description in RNAcentral is "long non-coding RNA (CSUB_LNC000431)". Lineage: Eukaryota; Viridiplantae; Chlorophyta; Trebouxiophyceae; Coccomyxaceae. The record is from RNAcentral.
AAGAGAAUUGGGCUGAGAUGAGCUGUCAGUAAAAUUUGCAUCUUCGUUUUAAAAAUGCUCACAUCUUGUGCAGAAUAGAUGAUUGUCUGUGUGCAGGGGGCAAGGCGUGGGUAGAGCACUUUUGAAGGAGCUGUUGGGCAGGGCUGGAGCCUCGGAUGUCCUGCUGACGACCAUUGGCAGCCGCAUGAAGUUCUACCAGAAUGAGGGAUUUCACCGGUUGAGCAUGAACGAAAUUCCCAGGUUCCGACCUGCCAGCUCAAUCUCACAAACCAAAUAUGCACUUUUGCAGAAAACCGCUCUGCGUAGCCCCCUCUUUAUCCCAUCUACUGAACUGCAAAUUGUCGAUUUAAAGUGUCUUUGUGACAAUGCAGGUCGCUGCUUUUCGAGGUGCUUGCUGGAACCGUGGUUGCCCGCAUAGCAGCAGGGGAUGAAUUGGUGGUGAUGAAGCGUGCUGCCUAGAUGAGCAAUGCACUGGGCAUACAGUUGUUGUGCUCGAUGAUUUAUUACAACAGAUUGCCAGCUGGGGAUCAAGAGCCCUCUCAGCAACAAUGCAGACCAAUUCAGGCUCACAUCAAAGCAUGGCAAUUGACAUCAAGAACUGGCUUUCCAGCAAAUCAAAUUAUGCCGCUCAAAGUAGCAAUCACGACAAUGUUAACUCAGUUGCAUCACCAGGCAGUGUGCACAACAGAAUAUUUUUGAAGUGAGAUAAAAGCCGUUUAAGGACUCAUGAGGUUUAGCAUAUGCAUGAUUAUUAAUCUUCUGGAUACCGAAAGCGCAGAUAUGCGUUGGGUACGUAUCGGCUUGCUCCUAGCUCAAGACCCUCAAAGUAUCGGCCCACCU